GCGCUCACUAUGGCAGCACGUGUACUACAAAUGGGAAUGGUGCAGAGAUGAACAUGGCCCCUACGCAAGGAUGACAUGCAGAUUCGCGAAGUGUUCCAUAUUUAA
Molossus molossus (Pallas's mastiff bat) is the source of this 105-nucleotide small nuclear RNA. Lineage: Eukaryota; Metazoa; Chordata; Mammalia; Chiroptera; Molossidae. The record is from RefSeq and is a predicted model, not a curated record.